Molecule: transfer RNA, 87 nt
Filed under: Candidatus Gottesmanbacteria bacterium RIFCSPHIGHO2_01_FULL_40_15
Lineage: Bacteria; Candidatus Gottesmaniibacteriota
Also listed under: 3 other names
Description: tRNA-Ser
Rfam family: tRNA
About the family: Transfer RNA (tRNA) molecules are approximately 80 nucleotides in length. Their secondary structure includes four short double-helical elements and three loops (D, anti-codon, and T loops).
Source: RNAcentral
GGAGGUGUCGCAUAGUUGGUCCAUUGCGCGGGUUUGCUAAACCCGUGAGCUGUAAGGCUCGCGUGGGUUCGAAUCCCACCGCCUCCG